Molecule: long non-coding RNA, 922 nt
Organism: Alnus glutinosa
Lineage: Eukaryota; Viridiplantae; Streptophyta; Magnoliopsida; Fagales; Betulaceae
Exons: 3
Source: RefSeq, a predicted model, not a curated record
ACCCCACAUCCCAAAGAGGCCAUCCCCACUCAUAUAUGCAAAGGCAAAGCAAGCUAUAAUCUUUUUCUUUUUCUGAACAAUACAGGAAAAAGGGAAGGUUACAAGGAAGCAAAAAGAAAAGAAAACAAGGGUAAUAACCAAGGCAAAGCAAGCUAUAAUCAUUAGGAGAUAGAUAACUCUCACAUUAAUAGUAUACAAAGUCGAUCUAUCCCUGUCAUGCUUCACCAUUUCAUUUGUUUGAUCUGAUGCCAAUCCAAAGCCCACAUAGCUCCAAGGCUGGACAUGGUAUCAAUAAGUAGAAACGGUUGGGAGAGGUACAACCCUGUCGUCUGUACUCCUGGCGGCGUCGGCGCAGAACAGGUGCACUGCUUUAGUGUGCUCUUGCUACGUACCAUCAAGGAGUUUGGACAACAAAGGUGAAGAAAGCAACAGCAACAAUACCAAGAAGCAGUUCCCUGCAGAAAAGAAAGAUGGGGUCAUGGAAGAGCUCCAUAAUCAUGAAUUACAACUUCAAAAUAGGAGCAAUGGGGGCAGCUACAGUAGCAGAAGUGGGUCUAAUGGGCCUCACAUUGAACCACCUGCUCUCAAGAGCAAUCUCAAGAAAACAACAAUAGUUGAUGGUAAUCAACUACCGGUAGAAAAGAGGAAAGUUAGUUGGCCUGAUGCUCAUGGCAAAGAUAUUGCUCAUGUCCAUGAAUUUGAACCAAGUGUGUCAGAAGAUGGGGAACUUGAGGGAGUAAGGAACUCUUGCGUUUGUGCUAUUCAAUAAACAAGAUGUCUAAAGGCAGUGGUGGAGGCAGACAUUUUCUUUUGUGUGGCCAAUUGUGAUACUUGCUAGAACAAUGUUUUCAUAAAUUCGUGUAAUGUAUAUGCUAAUUCAAUGAAGCAUUUGAUAAAAUUCGAACGUUUAGUCUUUUGCUUA